UACGAAGGGGGCUAGCGUUGCUCGGAAUCACUGGGCGUAAAGAGCUCGUAGGCGGUUUGUUGCGUCGGCUGUGAAAUCCCGAGGCUCAACCUCGGGUCUGCAGUCGAUACGAGCAAACUAGAGUGUUGCAGGGGAGACUGGAAUUCCUGGUGUAGCGGUGAAAUGCGCAGAUAUCAGGAGGAACACCGGUGGCGAAGGCGGGUCUCUGGGCCGAUACUGACGCUGAGGAGCGAAAGCGUGGGGAGCAAACAGG
Molecule: ribosomal RNA, 253 nt
Filed under: uncultured bacterium
Lineage: Bacteria
Description: partial 16S ribosomal RNA
Rfam family: Bacterial small subunit ribosomal RNA
Source: RNAcentral